Molecule: ribosomal RNA, 385 nt
Filed under: uncultured bacterium
Lineage: Bacteria
Description: bacterial SSU rRNA
Rfam family: Bacterial small subunit ribosomal RNA
Source: RNAcentral
AUUGAACGCUGGCGGCAUGCCUUACACAUGCAAGUCGAACGGCAGCACGGGAGCAAUCCUGGUGGCGAGUGGCGAACGGGUGAGUAAUAUAUCGGAACGUGCCCAGUCGUGGGGAUAACGUAGCGAAAGCUACGCUAAUACCGCAUACGAUCUAUGGAUGAAAGCGGGGGAUCGCAAGACCUCGCGCGAUUGGAGCGGCCGAUAUCAGAUUAGGUAGUUGGUGAGGUAAAGGGCUCGCCAAGCCGACGAUCUGUAGCUGGUCUGAGAGGACGACCAGCCACACUGGGACUGAGACACGGCCCAGACUCCUACGGGAGGCAGCAGUGGGGAAUUUUUGGGACAAUGGGCGGCAAGCCUGAUCCAGCAAUGCCGCGUGCAGGAUGAA